AGAACGAACGCUGGCGGCGCGUUUAAGCAUGCAAGUCGAGCGGCAAGGGCCUUCGGGCCCUAGAGCGGCGGACGGGUGAGUAACACGUGGACAAUCUGCCCCCCGGCCCGGGAUAGCCCAGGGAAACCUGGAUUAAUACCGGAUGAGACGGGACCCGCGAUGGCGGGAUCCGGGAAAGGCGCUGCGGCGCCGCCGGGGGAUGAGUCUGCGUCCCAUUAGCUAGACGGCGGGGUAACGGCCCACCGUGGCGACGAUGGGUAGCCGGCCUGAGAGGGUGGACGGCCACAUUGGAACUGAGACACGGUCCAGACUCCUACGGGAGGCAGCAGCUAAGAAUCUUCCGCAAUGGGCGAAAGCCUGACGGAGCCGACGCCGCGUGAACGAAGAAGGCCGUGAGGUUGUAAAGUUCUUUUCGGGAGGGGAACAACCGUGGCAGGGAAUGGCCGCGGGAUGACGUGAAAUCCCGGAAUAAGCCCCGGCUAACUACGUGCCAGCCGCCGC
RNAcentral lists this ribosomal RNA (501 nucleotides) under uncultured bacterium. RNAcentral describes it as "bacterial SSU rRNA". It matches the Rfam family "Bacterial small subunit ribosomal RNA", at positions 26 to 518 of the family's 1533-position model. The record is from RNAcentral.